AUCCUAGGGCGCAGCAGUGGGGAAUAUUGGGCAAUGGGCGCAAGCCUGACCCAGCAACGCCGCGUGAAGGAAGAAGGCUUUCGGGUUGUAAACUUCUUUUCUCAGGGACGAAGAAAAUGACGGUACCUGAAGAAGAAGCCCCGGCUAACUACGUGCCAGCAGCCGCGGUAAUACGUAGGGGGCAAGCGUUAUCCGGAUUUACUGGGUGUAAAGGGGGCGCAGACGGCGAUGCAAGCCAGGAGUGAAAGCUCGGGGCUCAACCCUGAGCCUGCAUUUGAAACUGUGUUUCUUGAGUGCUGGAGAGG
RNAcentral lists this ribosomal RNA (305 nucleotides) under uncultured bacterium. RNAcentral describes it as "bacterial SSU rRNA". It matches the Rfam family "Bacterial small subunit ribosomal RNA", at positions 335 to 657 of the family's 1533-position model. The record is from RNAcentral.